This 468-nucleotide ribosomal RNA is filed under the name uncultured bacterium. RNAcentral's name for it is "partial 16S ribosomal RNA". It matches the Rfam family "Bacterial small subunit ribosomal RNA", at positions 28 to 507 of the family's 1533-position model. The record is from RNAcentral.
GACGAACGCUGGCGGCGUGCUUAACACAUGCAAGUCGAACGGAAAGGCCCUGCUUUUGUGGGGUGCUCGAGUGGCGAACGGGUGAGUAACGCGUGAGUAACCUGCCCUUGACUUUGGGAUAACUUCAGGAAACUGGGGCUAAUACCGGAUAGGAGCUCCUGCUGCAUGGUGGGGGUUGGAAAGUUUCGGCGGUUGGGGAUGGACUCGCGGCUUAUCAGCUUGUUGGUGGGGUAGUGGCUUACCAAGGCUUUGACGGGUAGCCGGCCUGAGAGGGUGACCGGCCACAUUGGGACUGAGAUACGGCCCAGACUCCUACGGGAGGCAGCAGUGGGGAAUAUUGCACAAUGGGCGGAAGCCUGAUGCAGCAACGCCGCGUGCGGGAUGAUGGCCUUCGGGUUGUAAACCGCUUUCGCCUGUGACGAAGCGUGAGUGACGGUAAUGGGUAAAGAAGCACCGGCUAACUACGUG